AAGUCGCUUAACGAGCGAAACCCUUGUCUCUAGUUGCCAGCGCGUAAUGGCGGGGACUCUAGAGAGACCGCCGGCGUUAAGCCGGAGGAAGUGGGGAUGACGUCAAGUCCUCAUGGCCCUUAUGACUAGGGCUGCACACGUCCUACAAUGGAACGCACAAAGGGAAGCGAAACCGCGAGGUCAAGCAAAUCCCAAAAAUCGUUCCCUAGUUCGGAUUGCAGGCUGCAACUCGCCUGCAUGAAGCUGGAAUCGCUAGUAAUCGCGGGUCAGCAUACCGCGGUGAAUGUGUUCCUGAGCCUU
Molecule: ribosomal RNA, 300 nt
Filed under: uncultured bacterium
Lineage: Bacteria
Description: bacterial SSU rRNA
Rfam family: Bacterial small subunit ribosomal RNA
Source: RNAcentral